GGGGUCAUAGCUCAGCUGGGAGAGCGCAUGAAUGGCAUUCAUGAGGUCGACGGUUCGAUCCCGUCUGGCUCCACCA
RNAcentral lists this transfer RNA (76 nucleotides) under Pseudomonadota bacterium. RNAcentral describes it as "tRNA-Ala". It matches the Rfam family "tRNA". Rfam says of the family: Transfer RNA (tRNA) molecules are approximately 80 nucleotides in length. Their secondary structure includes four short double-helical elements and three loops (D, anti-codon, and T loops). The record is from RNAcentral. RNAcentral also lists the same sequence under 2 other names. Lineage: Bacteria; Pseudomonadati; Pseudomonadota.